GACGAACGCUGGCGGCGUGCUUAACACAUGCAAGUCGAACGGAGCGAAUGAAAGCUUGCUUUUAUAAGCUUAGUGGCAAACGGGUGAGUAACACGUAGACAACCUGCCGACAGGAUGGGGACAACAUUCCGAAAGGAAUGCUAAUACCGAAUGAAGUCGAGGGAAGGCAUCUUCCUUCGAUGAAAGAUGGCCUCUAUAUAUAAGCUAUCACCUGUUGAUGGGUCUGCGUCUGAUUAGCUGGUAGGUGAGGUAACGGCUCACCUAGGCGACGAUCAGUAGCCGGUCUGAGAGGAUGAACGGCCACAUUGGGACUGAGACACGGCCCAGACUCCUACGGGAGGCAGCAGUGGGGAAUCUUCCGCAAUGGGCGCAAGCCUGACGGAGCAACGCCGCGUGAGUGAAGAAGGUCUUCGGAUCGUAAAGCUCUGUUGAUGGGGACGAACGUGCCUAAUGCGAAUAGUUUUAGGUAAGACGGUACC
RNAcentral lists this ribosomal RNA (479 nucleotides) under Selenomonas sp. oral taxon 140. RNAcentral describes it as "bacterial SSU rRNA". It matches the Rfam family "Bacterial small subunit ribosomal RNA", at positions 28 to 479 of the family's 1533-position model. Lineage: Bacteria; Bacillati; Bacillota; Negativicutes; Selenomonadales; Selenomonadaceae. The record is from RNAcentral.